GGAAUCUUGCGCAAUGGGCGAAAGCCUGACGCAGCCAUGCCGCGUGGAUGAUGAAGGCCCUAGGGUUGUAAAGCUCUUUCAACGGUGAAGAUAAUGACGGUAACCGUAGAAGAAGCCCCGGCUAACUUCGUGCCAGCAGCCGCGGUAAUACGAAGGGGGCUAGCGUUGUUCGGAAUUACUGGGCGUAAAGCGCACGUAGGCGGAUUGGCAAGUUAGGGGUGAAAUCCCGGGGCUCAACCCCGGAACUGCCUUUAAAACUGCCGGUCUAGAGUUCGAGAGAGGUGAGUGGAAUUCCGAGUGUAGAGGUGAAAUUCGUAGAUAUUCGGAGGAACACCAGUGGCGAAGGCGGCUCACUGGCUCGAUACUGACGCUGAGGUGCGAAAGCGUGGGGAGCAAA
Molecule: ribosomal RNA, 397 nt
Filed under: uncultured bacterium
Lineage: Bacteria
Description: bacterial SSU rRNA
Rfam family: Bacterial small subunit ribosomal RNA
Source: RNAcentral